This 259-nucleotide long non-coding RNA is filed under the name Elaeis guineensis (African oil palm). RNAcentral's name for it is "long non-coding RNA (EGUI_LNC078969)". The record is from RNAcentral. Lineage: Eukaryota; Viridiplantae; Streptophyta; Magnoliopsida; Arecales; Arecaceae.
UAAGACAAGACAACACAAAUUGAUCAUGCUUCAUCUAAUUAGUAUAGUUAGGAUUAAUAAUAUAUUUUACAUCAUUGACAAUAGUCUUUAGGGGCAUUGGAACUGAUCAAUCAACAUAUAUACCUCAUUGUCGCGGCAAAGGAGAUAGCUCUCUAAGAAAAGACAUUGCCUAACGAAGUCAUUAGGUAAAGUGAUUAUUCAAGAAGAGGAAGAAAGAGAGAAAGAUUGCUUAAGGUACUACUUAAGAGGAGGGCAAGAU